Clupea harengus (Atlantic herring) is the source of this 458-nucleotide long non-coding RNA. NCBI's taxonomy places the organism in Eukaryota, Metazoa, Chordata, Actinopteri, Clupeiformes, Clupeidae. The record is from Ensembl.
CACUGGACAUAAAUAAAAAGACAAUCCACAGUUUGAGGGACAGAUACCGUGCAUAGGGUGUUAAAGAGCAGCACAUUAGACGACAGAAACUAAAGGUUGGGGAAAUUGUAAAAUAACCGAUGUCAUGGUGAUGGAGCGAGUCGUGCUCUCGGUCCUUCUGGUUUCAGGGCUCAGCAAAGUAAUGUUGUGUACCCCUCGUGAGUAUCACUUUGUGAAAGAAUCCAAGACAUGGACUGAAGCACAGACACACUGUAGAAAGACAUACACUGACCUGGCUACUAUUGAUGACAUGGAGGACUGGAGCCUUAUUAAGAAUAUCAUUAAAGACCGGAAGAAUGGCGUCUGGAUUGGGCUUCAUAAGACAGACCAGCCUGUGGAAGUGGUCACUAGAGAACAGAUCUCUCUACAGUCCAGAAGAAAAUGAGUUUAGAAACUGGUCCAGUGGCGAACCCGGCGGA